This 110-nucleotide Y RNA is filed under the name Prolemur simus (greater bamboo lemur). RNAcentral describes it as "Y RNA (ENSPSMG00000018897.1)". It matches the Rfam family "Y RNA". From Rfam's summary of the family: Y RNAs are components of the Ro ribonucleoprotein particle (Ro RNP), in association with Ro60 and La proteins. Lineage: Eukaryota; Metazoa; Chordata; Mammalia; Primates; Lemuridae. The record is from RNAcentral.
GGCUGGUCUGAAGGUAGUGAGUUAUCUCACUUGAUUGUUCACAGUCACAGAUUGACCUCCUUGUUCUACUACUUUCCCCCCUCCUCACUACUGCACUUGACUAGUAUAAA